GCCGCGCUAGCUCAGUCGGAAGAGCGCCGCCUUGGUAUGGCGGAAGUGGCGGGUUCGAUCCCCGCGUGCGGCUCCA
This 76-nucleotide transfer RNA is filed under the name Mycobacterium koreense. RNAcentral's name for it is "Mycolicibacillus koreensis tRNA-Thr". It matches the Rfam family "tRNA". From Rfam's summary of the family: Transfer RNA (tRNA) molecules are approximately 80 nucleotides in length. Their secondary structure includes four short double-helical elements and three loops (D, anti-codon, and T loops). Further hydrogen bonds mediate the characteristic L-shaped molecular structure. tRNAs have two regions of fundamental functional importance: the anti-codon, which is responsible for specific mRNA codon recognition, and the 3' end, to which the tRNAs corresponding amino acid is attached (by aminoacyl-tRNA synthetases). tRNAs cope with the degeneracy of the genetic code in two manners: having more than one tRNA (with a specific anti-codon) for a particular amino acid; and 'wobble' base-pairing, i.e. permitting non-standard base-pairing at the 3rd anti-codon position. Lineage: Bacteria; Bacillati; Actinomycetota; Actinomycetes; Mycobacteriales; Mycobacteriaceae. The record is from RNAcentral.